RNAcentral lists this ribosomal RNA (264 nucleotides) under uncultured bacterium. RNAcentral describes it as "partial 16S ribosomal RNA". It matches the Rfam family "Bacterial small subunit ribosomal RNA", at positions 90 to 353 of the family's 1533-position model. The record is from RNAcentral.
GGCGACCGGCGCACGGUGAGUAACACGUAUCCAACCUGCCGAUGACUCGGGGAUAGCCUUUCGAAAGAAAGAUUAAUACCCGAUGGCAUAGUUCUUCCGCAUGGUAGAACUAUUAAAGAAUUUCGGUCAUCGAUGGGGAUGCAUUCCAUUAGGUUGUUGGCGGGGUAACGGCCCACCAAGCCUUCGAUGGAUAGGGGUUCUGAGAGGAACGGUCCCCCACAUUGGAACUGAGACACGGUCCAAACUCCUACGGGAGGCAGCAUG